GGAAGUUUAAGCAAUUAAACUUUAGUGGGCGAACGGGUGAGUAACGCGUAAGCAAUCUGCCCCUAAGACGAGGAUAACAGUUGGAAACUACUGCUAAGACUGGAUAGGAGACAAGAAGGCAUCUUCUUGUUUUUAAAAGACCUAGCAAUAGGUAUGCUUAGGGAGGAGCUUGCGUCACAUUAGUUAGUUGGUGGGGUAAAGGCCUACCAAGACUAUGAUGUGUAGCCGGGCUGAGAGGUUGAACGGCCACAUUGGGACUGAGACACGGCCCAAACUCCUACGGGAGGCAGCAGUAGGGAAUUUUCGGCAAUGGAGGAAACUCUGACCGAGCAACGCCGCGUGAACGAUGAAGUAUUUCGGUACGUAAAGUUCUUUUAUUAGGGAAGAAUAAAUGAUGGAAAAAUCAUUCUGACGGUACCUAAUGAAUAAGCCCCGGCUAACUAUGUGCCAGCAGCCGCGGUAAUACAUAGGGGGCAAGCGUUAUCCGGAAUUAUUGGGCGUAAAGGGUGCGUAGGCGGUUAAAUAAGUUUAUGGUCUAAGUGCAAUGCUCAACAUUGUGAUGCUAUAAAAACUGUUUAGCUAGAGUAAGAUAGAGGCAAGUGGAAUUCCAUGUGUAGUGGUAAAAUGCGUAAAUAUAUGGAGGAACACCAGUAGCGAAGGCGGCUUGCUGGGUCUUUACUGACGCUGAGGCACGAAAGCGUGGGGAGCAAACAGGAUUAGAUACCCUGGUAGUCCACGCCGUAAACGAUGAGUACUAAACGUUGGGUAAAACCAGUGGUUGAAGUUAACACAUUAAGUACUCCGCCUGAGUAGUACGUACGCAAGUAUGAAACUUAAAGGAAUUGACGGGACUCCGCACAAGCGGUGGAUCAUGUUGUUUAAUUCGAAGGUACCCGAAAAACCUCACCAGGUCUUGACAUGCUUCUGCAAAGCUGUAGAAACCCAGUGGGAGGUUAUCAGUUGCACAGGUGGUGCAUGGUUGUCGUCAGCUCGUGUCGUGAGAUGUUGGGUUAAGUCCCGCAACGAGCGCAACCCUUAUUGUUAGUUACCAGCACGUAAUGGUGGGGACUUUAGCAAGACUGCCAGUGAUAAAUUGGAGGAAGGUGGGGACGACGUCAAAUCAUCAUGCCCCUUAUGACCUGGGCUACAAACGUGAUACAAUGGCUGUUACAAAGGGUAGCUGAAGCGCAAGUUUUUGGCGAAUCUCAAAAAAACAGUCUCAGUUCGGAUUGAAGUCUGCAACUCGACUUCAUGAAGUUGGAAUCGCUAGUAAUCGCGAAUCAGCAUGUCGCGGUGAAUACGUUCUCGGGGUUUGUACACACCGCCCGUCAAACCACGAAAGUUGGCAAUACCCAAAGCCGGCGGCCUAACUUCGCAAGAAGAGGGAACCGUCUAAGGUAGGGUCGAUGAUUGGGGUUAAGUCGUAACAAGGUAUCCCUACCGGAAGGUGGGGAUGGAUCACCUCCUUUC
Molecule: ribosomal RNA, 1470 nt
Filed under: Candidatus Phytoplasma asteris-related phytoplasma
Lineage: Bacteria; Bacillati; Mycoplasmatota; Mollicutes; Acholeplasmatales; Acholeplasmataceae
Description: bacterial SSU rRNA
Rfam family: Bacterial small subunit ribosomal RNA
Source: RNAcentral